UGAGGAGGAAACGUUUAUAGAAAAUGAAGAAGUUCAUUUUUAGGAAUGUUUCCGACGAAUUGCCAACCACCGAAGGUAGGAGGCGUUACAUAU
This 93-nucleotide small RNA is filed under the name uncultured Eubacterium sp. Its description in RNAcentral is "GA-cis RNA". It matches the Rfam family "GA-cis RNA". Lineage: Bacteria; Bacillati; Bacillota; Clostridia; Eubacteriales; Eubacteriaceae. The record is from RNAcentral.